GCUCAGGCAGGGAGGCGGUGUCCUCGGCGGCCUCGUCGAGGCCGUCGGCGAGCUGGGUCGAGCCGGUGACGAGCCGCUCGGUUCCGGUCGCGAGCCC
Molecule: transfer RNA, 97 nt
Filed under: Pseudonocardia asaccharolytica DSM 44247 = NBRC 16224
Lineage: Bacteria; Bacillati; Actinomycetota; Actinomycetes; Pseudonocardiales; Pseudonocardiaceae
Description: tRNA-Asp
Source: RNAcentral